This is a long non-coding RNA of Neofelis nebulosa (Clouded leopard), 829 nucleotides long. RefSeq lists it as uncharacterized. The record is from RefSeq and is a predicted model, not a curated record. The transcript is spliced from 2 exons. Lineage: Eukaryota; Metazoa; Chordata; Mammalia; Carnivora; Felidae.
GAGAGGGAGACACAGAAUUCAAAACAGGCUCCAGGCUCCGAGCCGUCAACACAUAGCCCGACGCGGGGCUGGAACCCACGAACCGUGAGAUCGUGACCUGAGCCGAAGUCAGAUGCUUAACCGACUGAGCCACCCAGGGGCCACUCUGGCUUUUCUUUUGAGUAUUACACCUCUUCCCCCCUCUUUCCUCUGUUGGUCUGACUCAGCCCUAUGACUCAUUCCUUAGGUCUCCCAGUGAACAUCACUUUCUAUUUUUUCCUGGGCUAAUAUGUAUUGAACCGUUACUACAAGCACGGCCGGGUGGUUAGCAUUUAUAUGGAUUUUCUCACUUGGGUUUUCUCCAGGACCCUGAGAGGUGGAAACUAUUCUUUUUGUCACUUUACAUAUGUGGACAUUUGAGAUGUAGGUCACGUAGGUGAUCAGAAGUCGAGCCCGGGGACAUCGGACAUCUUUCUGCUCCUCGGCACCUUCGUGGAUCCUUCCAUCCCUGGAAGGCGGCAGCGCUGUGACCUCGCGGUUCCCGAAGCGUCCCAGAUACAGGGUUCGGUGCAUGUGUGUCCAUACAGAGCUGGUUGUGGGGACCAGACAGACUUGGUUCUUAUCUGCGCCUUGCCAUUUAUUGUGACCCGGGAGAGAGACAGAGACAGAGAGAGAACGAGCCGGGGAGGGGCAGAGAGAGAGAGAGAGAGAGAGAAUCCCAAGCAGGCUCCGCACUGUCAGCAGGAAGCCCGAUGCAGGGGUCGAACUCACAAACCAUGAGACCAUGACCUGAGCUGAAACUAAGAGUCAGACGCUUAGCCGACGGAGCCAUCCAGACGCCUCAUGAAAG